UUGCUGUUGCUGCAACGGCGGCUGUUGCUGCUGCUGCCAGUACGGGUUCUGGCCACCCCACUGCUGCUGCGGUUGUGCCUGCGCCUGCUGUGUCGCCCCGUUAUUGCGCUGUUGCUGCUGCAGCUGGGGUUGCUGGCCCUGCAUCCAGCGUUGCUGUUGCAUCUGCUGCUGUGGUUGUGCGGCCGCCCAUUGAUUUUGCUGCUGGUUCCAUUGUUGCUGGCCCCACUGCUGCUGCUGCUGGUUCCACUGCUGCUGCUGACUCCACUGUUGUGGCUGCUGCUGCUGUGGCUGGUUGCCCCACGCCUGCUGCUGGCCCCGCCACUGCUCCUGAUUAUUCCACUGCUGCUGCUGUUGCUGCUGCUGCUGCCCACCCCAAGCCUGCUGUUGUUGGGCGUUCCACUGCUGCUGCAGGUUGCCCCACGCCUGCUGCUGCUGUGGCUGGCUCCAUUGGGCUUGCUGGGGCCACUGCUGCUGCUGCUGCUGCGGGCCGGCCCACGCCUGUUGCGCCUGCUG
This 513-nucleotide long non-coding RNA is filed under the name Chlamydomonas reinhardtii. RNAcentral describes it as "long non-coding RNA (CREI_LNC000980)". Lineage: Eukaryota; Viridiplantae; Chlorophyta; Chlorophyceae; Chlamydomonadales; Chlamydomonadaceae. The record is from RNAcentral.